Molecule: ribosomal RNA, 236 nt
Filed under: uncultured bacterium
Lineage: Bacteria
Description: partial 16S ribosomal RNA
Rfam family: Bacterial small subunit ribosomal RNA
Source: RNAcentral
CGGGACGGGUGAGUAACGCGUGGGUAACCUGCCUUGUACUGGGGGACAACAGUUAGAAAUGACUGCUAAUACCGCAUAAGUGCACAGUAUCGCAUGAUACAGUGUGAAAAACUCCGGUGGUACAAGAUGGACCCGCGUCUGAUUAGCUAGUUGGUAAGGUAAGGGCUUACCAAGGCGACGAUCAGUAGCCGACCUGAGAGGGUGACCGGCCACAUUGGGACUGAGACACGGCCCAA